AAUGGGUCAGCGACUUAUAUUCUGUAGCAAGGUUAACCGAAUAGGGGAGCCGAAGGGAAACCGAGUCUUAACUGGGCGUUAAGUUGCAGGGUAUAGACCCGAAACCCGGUGAUCUAGCCAUGGGCAGGUUGAAGGUUGGGUAACACUAACUGGAGGACCGAACCGACUAAUGUUGAAAAAUUAGCGGAUGACUUGUGGCUGGGGGUGAAAGGCCAAUCAAACCGGGAGAUAGCUGGUUCUCCCCGAAAGCUAUUUAGGUAGCGCCUCGUGAAUUCAUCUCCGGGGGUAGAGCACUGUUUCGGCAAGGGGGUCAUCCCGACUUACCAACCCGAUGCAAACUGCGAAUACCGGAGAAUGUUAUCACGGGAGACACACGGCGGGUGCUAACGUCCGUCGUGAAGAGGGAAACAACCCAGACCGCCAGCUAAGGUCCCAAAGUCAUGGUUAAGUGGGAAACGAUGUGGGAAGGCCCAGACAGCCAGGAUGUUGGCUUAGAAGCAGCCAUCAUUUAAAGAAAGCGUAAUAGCUCACUGGUCGAGUCGGCCUGCGCGGAAGAUGUAACGGGGCUAAACCAUGCACCGAAGCUGCGGCAGCGACGCUUAUGCGUUGUUGGGUAGGGGAGCGUUCUGUAAGCCUGUGAAGGUGUGCUGUGAGGCAUGCUGGAGGUAUCAGAAGUGCGAAUGCUGACAUAAGUAACGAUAAAGCGGGUGAAAAGCCCGCUCGCCGGAAGACCAAGGGUUCCUGUCCAACGUUAAUCGGGGCAGGGUGAGUCGACCCCUAAGGCGAGGCCGAAAGGCGUAGUCGAUGGGAAACAGGUUAAUAUUCCUGUACUUGGUGUUACUGCGAAGGGGGGACGGAGAAGGCUAUGUUGGCCGGGCGACGGUUGUCCCGGUUUAAGCGUGUAGGCUGGUUUUCCAGGCAAAUCCGGAAAAUCAAGGCUGAGGCGUGAUGACGAGGCACUACGGUGCUGAAGCAACAAAUGCCCUGCUUCCAGGAAAAGCCUCUAAGCAUCAGGUAACAUCAAAUCGUACCCCAAACCGACACAGGUGGUCAGGUAGAGAAUACCAAGGCGCUUGAGAGAACUCGGGUGAAGGAACUAGGCAAAAUGGUGCCGUAACUUCGGGAGAAGGCACGCUGAUAUGUAGGUGAAGUCCCUCGCGGAUGGAGCUGAAAUCAGUCGAAGAUACCAGCUGGCUGCAACUGUUUAUUAAAAACACAGCACUGUGCAAACACGAAAGUGGACGUAUACGGUGUGACGCCUGCCCGGUGCCGGAAGGUUAAUUGAUGGGGUCAGCGCAAGCGAAGCUCUUGAUCGAAGCCCCGGUAAACGGCGGCCGUAACUAUAACGGUCCUAAGGUAGCGAAAUUCCUUGUCGGGUAAGUUCCGACCUGCACGAAUGGCGUAAUGAUGGCCAGGCUGUCUCCACCCGAGACUCAGUGAAAUUGAACUCGCUGUGAAGAUGCAGUGUACCCGCGGCAAGACGGAAAGACCCCGUGAACCUUUACUAUAGCUUGACACUGAACAUUGAGCCUUGAUGUGUAGGAUAGGUGGGAGGCUUAGAAGUGUGGACGCCAGUCUGCAUGGAGCCGACCUUGAAAUACCACCCUUUAAUGUUUGAUGUUCUAACGUUGACCCGUAAUCCGGGUUGCGGACAGUGUCUGGUGGGUAGUUUGACUGGGGCGGUCUCCUC
Molecule: ribosomal RNA, 1690 nt
Filed under: Escherichia coli
Lineage: Bacteria; Pseudomonadati; Pseudomonadota; Gammaproteobacteria; Enterobacterales; Enterobacteriaceae
Description: partial 23S ribosomal RNA
Rfam family: Bacterial large subunit ribosomal RNA
Source: RNAcentral